GGAAAGACCCCGUGAACCUUUACUAUAGCUUGACACUGAACAUUGAGCCUUGAUGUGUAGGAUAGGUGGGAGGCUUUGAAGCGUGGACGCCAGUCUGCGUGGAGCCGACCUUGAAAUACCACCCUUUAAUGUUUGAUGUUCUAACGUGGACCCGUGAUCCGGGUUGCGGACAGUGUCUGGUGGGUAGUUUGACUGGGGCGGUCUCCUCCUAAAGAGUAACGGAGGAGCACGAAGGUUGGCUAAUCCUGGUCGGACAUCAGGAGGUUAGUGCAAUGGCAUAAGCCAGCUUGACUGCGAGCGUGACGGCGCGAGCAGGUGCGAAAGCAGGUCAUAGUGAUCCGGUGGUUCUGAAUGGAAGGGCCAUCGCUCAACGGAUAAAAGGUACUCCGGGGAUAACAGGCUGAUACCGCCCAAGAGUUCAUAUCGACGGCGGUGUUUGGCACCUCGAUGUCGGCUCAUCACAUCCUGGGGCUGAAGUAGGUCCCAAGGGUAUGGCUGUUCGCCAUUUAAAGUGGUACGCGAGCUGGGUUUAGAACGUCGUGAGACAGUUCGGUCCCUAUCUGCCGUGGGCGCUGGAGAACUGAGGGGGGCUGCUCCUAGUACGAGAGGACCGGAGUGGACGCAUCACUGGUGUUCGGGUUGUCAUGCCAAUGGCACUGCCCGGUAGCUAAAUGCGGAAGAGAUAAGUGCUGAAAGCAUCUAAGCACGAAACUUGCCCCGAG
RNAcentral lists this ribosomal RNA (722 nucleotides) under Salmonella enterica. RNAcentral describes it as "partial 23S ribosomal RNA". It matches the Rfam family "Bacterial large subunit ribosomal RNA", at positions 2082 to 2803 of the family's 2925-position model. The record is from RNAcentral. Lineage: Bacteria; Pseudomonadati; Pseudomonadota; Gammaproteobacteria; Enterobacterales; Enterobacteriaceae.